CAGUCGCCACGGUAAUACGGAGGGGGCUAGCGUUGUUCGGAAUUACUGGGCGUAAAGCGUGCGCAGGCGGUGUUGUAAGACUGAUGUGAAAUCCCCGGGCUCAACCUGGGAACUGCAUUUGUGACUGUAUAGCUAGAGUACGGCAGAGGGGGAUGGAAUUCCGCGUGUAGCAGUGAAAUGCGUAGAUAUGCGGAGGAACACCGAUGGCGAAGGCAAUCCCCUGGGCCUGUACUGACGCUCAUGCACGAAAGCGUGGGGAGCAAACAGGAUUAGAUACCCCAGUAGUCCCUGUCUCUUAUAA
Molecule: ribosomal RNA, 301 nt
Filed under: uncultured bacterium
Lineage: Bacteria
Description: partial 16S ribosomal RNA
Rfam family: Bacterial small subunit ribosomal RNA
Source: RNAcentral